Molecule: long non-coding RNA, 1720 nt
Filed under: Homo sapiens (human)
Lineage: Eukaryota; Metazoa; Chordata; Mammalia; Primates; Hominidae
Description: HSALNT0390109
Source: RNAcentral
GGGCUGCCGAGCCGCUUCACCUGCCGCAGAGGGGGCGGCCGGCGCCGCUUCACCUGCCGGAGCGGGAGGCCACCGAGGCGAGGCCGAGGCGGCGGCGCGCUCGGCGGCGCCUCCGGGUCCUAGAACCGCAUCCUCCCGCUCGCCUCGGGCGAGGGAUUGGCCGGGUCUGGGUGAAGGGGAUCACGGCCUGGGGAUUGGAGGGGCACAUCUUCUCCGCACCGAGGAUCUCAGCGACUGCGAGCACGGCUCGGAGACCCACGGUGGUGCAGCGUUGGGGCGCCAGGGCUGCGUUCCCGUCUCGCGUCCCGGACUGAGAAGGUGGGAACCCCCUUCCAGGCCCCCCACCUUUUAUUUCUCUCCUCCCCUGCUUAGCCCAGAGACGAGCUGAGGACGAGGGGGAGCCAUCUCCAAACAGGAACUCCUAAACAGGGUGGGGGGCGCGGACGCAGGCCAGUGGAGACCCCCGCCACCUGUCCCACCUCGACCAACCGUGCGCCUGUGCAGGGCACCCCUACAGGUUUUAGAAUGGGGGCACCUAUGGAAUAUGGCAGGCUGCGAGAAGCUGGGCCCGCCAAGGUGGUCCCAAGGAGGAGUGGGGGGUUGCGGAAAGGAGGAUGAGAGCCAGCCACAAGGCUGGAAAAGGAGUGGGCACCGCAGAGGAGGGAAAAAGAAUCUUGACACUGUCACCGCCAGGGAUCUAGGGGGGCCUCUUACCUUGGAGAAUAACAAUCUCUGAUGUCUGCUAAUUACAGAAAUACUUUCAGAGCUCUUUCAUUCAUCCUGACAAUGGCCAGAGAAGGUAGGUAUUGGUAGCCUUAUUUUAGAGAUGGGGAAACUGAGGCUGAGAGUAGGUAAGUAAGCUGUCCAAGGGCACUCAGCUAACAAAGGACAGAAGCAAGCCUCCUCACUGUCUACCUCCAAAACCUACACUGGCUUGGAGUUGCUGUCCUGGCCCUCCACUGCCCAUCUCAUGUAGGACGGGAGAGUAUGGGGGGCUGGGGUCCCAUCUAUAGCCUGAAUUUGAGACUUUCAGUUGCUCCUCUCAUUCCCCAUUUAAUUUGUGGGGAUCCCCAACUGACCCCUCCCUACACUUCCAGGGCACUGAGGAGGGAGGGCCCGCUGAAGGAGCCCCGAAUUAUCUCUAGGCCAGGUCAGGAGCCAUUAGUGUCCCCUCCCCUGACAGCAUCCUCCUCCUUCUGCCCUCACAUUCAGAGCCACUGACAAGACUUUAAGCAAGAGACGGAGAGUUAACAUCUAAUCUGGAGGAAGACCCUGGAAGGAGCCAGCCCCUUCCCCCAGGCUGACCUGGUUUAAGCCUUUCUUCUGCCAAGGUCACCAGCACCCCAGAUGGGUGAGAGAUGUGAUCACUGGUUUCGUGGCCUGACCAAGGACCUCCAAGAUGGAGUCUCUCGCUGUUGCCCAGGCUGGAGUGCAGUGGCUCGGUCUCAGCUCACUGCAACCUCCACCUCCCAGGUCCAAGCAAUUAUCCAGUCUCAGCCUCCUCAGUAGCUGGGACCACAGGUGCGUGCCACCACACCCAGCUCAUUUUUGUAUUUUUAGUAGAGACGGGGUUUUGCUAUGUUGACCAAGCUGGUCUCGAACUCCUGACCUCAAGUGAUCCGCCUGCCUCGGCCUCCCAAAGUGCUGGGAUUACAGGCAUGAGGCACCCCGUCCAGCCUGGAAGACUUUUUUUUUUAAUGAAUAAAAACACAUUUUUUUA